This 497-nucleotide ribosomal RNA is filed under the name uncultured bacterium. RNAcentral describes it as "partial 16S ribosomal RNA". It matches the Rfam family "Bacterial small subunit ribosomal RNA", at positions 28 to 507 of the family's 1533-position model. The record is from RNAcentral.
GAUGAACGCUGGCGGCGUGCCUAAUACAUGCAAGUCGAGCGACCAGACGAUGAGCUUGCUCCUUUGCCGUUAGCGGCUGGCGGGUGAGUAACACGUGCAUAACCUACUUAUAUUACUGGGAUAACUUCGUGAAACCGGAUCUAAUACUACAUAAUAUAUUGAACCGCAUGGUUCAAUAGUUAUUGACGGCUUUGCUGUCUGUUAUAGAUGGUUCCGCGUCGCAUUAGCUAGUUGGUAAGGUAACGGCUUACCAAGGCAACGAUGCGUAGCUGAUCUGAGAGGGUGAUCGGCCACACUGGAACUGAGACACGGUCCAGACUCCUACGGGAGGCAGCAGUAGGGAAUAUUGCGCAAUGGGCGAAAGCCUGAUCGAGCCACACCGCGUGAGUGAAGAAGGCCUUCGGAUCGUAAAGCUCUUUUGUUGGGGAAGAAAAACUGUAUAUGUAAACAUGCACGUUUUGACGGUACCCAAUCAAAAAGCAACGGCUAACUACGUG